This 468-nucleotide ribosomal RNA is filed under the name uncultured bacterium. Its description in RNAcentral is "partial 16S ribosomal RNA". It matches the Rfam family "Bacterial small subunit ribosomal RNA", at positions 28 to 507 of the family's 1533-position model. The record is from RNAcentral.
GACGAACGCUGGCGGCGUGCUUAACACAUGCAAGUCGAACGGAAAGGCCCUGCUUUUGUGGGGUGCUCGAGUGGCGAACGGGUGAGUAACACGUGAGUAACCUGCCCUUGACUUUGGGAUAGCUUCAGGAAACUGGGGCUAAUACCGUAUAGGAGCUCCUGCUGCAUGGUGGGGGUUGGAAAGUUUCGGCGGUUGGGGAUGGACUCGCGGCUUAUCAGCUAGUUGGUUGGGGAGUGGCUUACCCAGGCUUUGGCGGAUAGCCGGCCUGAGAGGGUGACCGGCCACAUUGGGACUGAGAUACGGACCAGAGGGCAACGGGAGACAGCAGGGGCGAAUAUUGUACAGUGGGCGGAAGCCUGAUGCAGCAACGCCGCGUGCGGAAAGACGGCCUUCGGGGUGUAAACCGCUUUCGCCUGUGACGAAGCGUGAGUGACGGUAACGAGUAAAGAAGCACCGGCUAACUACGUG